UACCAUAAGAUUUCACUCUGCCAAAUCAUC
This 30-nucleotide non-coding RNA is filed under the name Mus musculus (house mouse). The record is from RNAcentral. Lineage: Eukaryota; Metazoa; Chordata; Mammalia; Rodentia; Muridae.